Molecule: ribosomal RNA, 443 nt
Filed under: uncultured bacterium
Lineage: Bacteria
Description: partial 16S ribosomal RNA
Rfam family: Bacterial small subunit ribosomal RNA
Source: RNAcentral
CCUACGGGUGGCAGCAGUGGGGAAUAUUGGGCAAUGGGCGCAAGCCUGACCCAGCAACGCCGCGUGAAGGAAGAAGGCUUUCGGGUUGUAAACUUCUUUUGUCAGGGACGAAGCAAGUGACGGUACCUGACGAAUAAGCCACGGCUAACUACGUGCCAGCCGCCGCGGUAAUACGUAGGUGGCAGGCGUUAUCCGGAUUUACUGGGUGUAAAGGGCGUGUAGGCGGGACUGCAAGGCAGAUGUGAAACCCACGGGCUCAACCUGUGGCCUGCAGUUGAAACUGUAGUUCUUGAGUACUGGAGAGGCAGACGGAAUGCGUGGUGUAGCGGUGAAAUGCAUAGAUAUUAGGAGGAACACCAGUGGCGAAGGCGGUCUGCUGGACAGCAACUGACGCUGAGGCGCGAAAGCGUGGGGAGCAAACAGGAUUAGAUACCCCAGUAGUC